CGAAGCCGGAGCUGAAGGGAGGCCGCACAGGGUUUGGAAACCAUGGCAACGUUCUUUCUGGCCUCGGUGUUCUCCUCUUUUUGCCCCCGGGCCUGGACUCUGCACCUAACAAAGUAAAAUAGUCGCUGAUGCAAAUCCUGCCGAAACAAGUCUUCCCAGGGAAUCGCAGUCCUUCGGCCUCUGAGAUCCUGCCAUUGGAGAAGCCAGGCCUCGCUGUUCCAGUCAGUAUCGGACUUGACACCUUCCCCUCUGGCCGCUGUUCACCUGGGCUGUUCCCCAGGCCGACCCCACAGUGAGUGCCUCUAGCUGAGACUACGCCACCGGGAAGCGGUAAAUCUGCGCACAAGAACCCACUAGUGCCCCCGUGGGAACCGCCCCCCCAGAAACCGGCAUCCUGCCCCUUCUCAGUGUCUUAGGAUCACGAUCCCUGCUCUGGUCCUUCUACAGGCGCGGCGGCCCGGUGAUGCAAUCCCGCGUAAAAACAAAAUCUGCAUGCAGUCCCCCAAAUCCACGUUUCCUGGGUCCAUUUAUCCCCAGCGUCUCGAUCUGCGUUCUCUGUCU
Molecule: long non-coding RNA, 561 nt
Organism: Chinchilla lanigera (long-tailed chinchilla)
Lineage: Eukaryota; Metazoa; Chordata; Mammalia; Rodentia; Chinchillidae
Exons: 3
Source: RefSeq, a predicted model, not a curated record